Molecule: non-coding RNA, 29 nt
Filed under: Rattus norvegicus (Norway rat)
Lineage: Eukaryota; Metazoa; Chordata; Mammalia; Rodentia; Muridae
Source: RNAcentral
UAACAAGCACAAUUACAGUCUUGGUGAGU